CUGCACUCUCUGUCCCUUCCCUUUGCCCGGGAAGGGAUUUUCGAGCCGCGGGCCAGCUGAUGCACGCUGCGCUCCGCGGCUCUGACACUUCCCCAGCUGGACGGCUAAAAGCUAGCCGCCAUCGCCAUCGCCUCACACCGGAAGCUCCUAAUUAAAAUUAUU
This is a long non-coding RNA of Crotalus tigris (Tiger rattlesnake), 162 nucleotides long. RefSeq lists it as uncharacterized. NCBI's taxonomy places the organism in Eukaryota, Metazoa, Chordata, Lepidosauria, Squamata, Viperidae. The transcript has 3 exons. The record is from RefSeq and is a predicted model, not a curated record.